CCCUCCCGGGGAGCCAUUGUUCCUGAGGCGGGCGGGGGCGCGGGCCGGGGUCGGGGAUCCUUCUGGCUGGUCAGACGGCGCCGAGGAUGCUGGAGAGCGCUCCGGGACUGUGUCUCAGAAGCCCUUUGUGAGCCUUUCCCACGCGCCUUCUAACCCUGCACGAGCUCAGGUGGUCUUUCGUGGGUUUUCCAGGUGGAGGUAAAGGCAAAAGGUGACUUGUCCAAGGUGGCUGAACAAGACACAACGAUGAAUAAAUGAAGACAUUCAUUACAGCUUUUGUGUAAUAGUAAAAUAUGGCUCCGUUGGUCAUCAGUGGGACUGAGAUGAGGAAGCAAAGUCCUAAUAAGGUUCAGUCCCUGAGGCUACAUCCGUAAGUUGAGUCGACUGCUUCGCGCCAGCCCUGAGGCCUCCCCACACCACAAACUCGGAGGAGGGAGUCAUCAUGUUCUGAUACAAGAUGGAGGAAAGAUUGGCACCAGCAGGGCGGCAACCAGACUCCUAGCAACAACUGAGAGGUGCGAUCAAGCUGGGUGCCGUUCAGACGGAUGGAUCAGGAAAGCAUAUAUGUGUUUCAGUGGCGUGUCACUCAGCCUUAAAGACUGAUGGGACCCUCUCACUUGCAACACUUAGAGCUGGGAAACAAAAUGCAGACUGAGUUAAGCAAGACACAGAAAACACAGCUCGUGGGCUCUCCCAUACCUGGAUGCUUAAACACAUGGACCUUUAAGUAGAGUGAGUGACAACUAGAGGUUGAGAAGGGAGCAAGGGUCAGGGGAGGGUCAAGGACGAUGGUUGGCUAUCACUAAUACACCCUAUGCAUGUGUAGAGAUGUUAAAUGAAGCUCCCCUUGUACGUGUGACUAAUAUAAAUGUUUU
This 875-nucleotide small RNA is filed under the name Rattus norvegicus (Norway rat). RNAcentral describes it as "uncharacterized LOC108350968". Lineage: Eukaryota; Metazoa; Chordata; Mammalia; Rodentia; Muridae. The record is from RNAcentral.